Molecule: ribosomal RNA, 254 nt
Filed under: uncultured bacterium
Lineage: Bacteria
Description: partial 16S ribosomal RNA
Rfam family: Bacterial small subunit ribosomal RNA
Source: RNAcentral
UACGUAGGGACCGAGCGUUGUCCGGAUUCAUUGGGCGUAAAGAGCUCGUAGGCGGCCACUCAAGUCGAAUGUGAAACCUCGAGGCUUAACCUCGAGCCUGCAUUCGAUACUGGGCGGCUAGAGUCUGGUAGGGGGAUCUGGAAUUCCUGGGUGUAGCGGUGGAAUGCGCAGAUAUCAGGAGGAACACCGGUGGCGAAGGCGGGAUCCUGGGCCAGUACUGACGCUGAGGAGCGAAAGCGUGGGGAGCAAACAGG